CUACGACCUAAGAUCAGACGUGGCGACCCGCUGAAUUUAAGCAUUUUAAUAAGCAGAGGAAAAGAAACUAACCAGGAUUCCCUCAGUAACUGCCAGUUCAACAGCAGGCGUGGGAAAUGUGGUGUACAGAAGAACGACUCAAGUCCUUCUGAUCGUGUCUCACCCUGCAGAAGGUGUAAGGCCAGUAGGGACCUCCAGCAUGCCAGGAUUAGGUCUUCUCACAGUUGGGUUGCCUCGGAAUGCAGCCCAAAGUGGUUGGUAAACUCCAUCUAAGGUUAAAUAGGGCCACAAGACCAAUGGCCAACAAGUACUGGAAGGGAAAGUUGAAAAGAACUUUGAAGAGAGAGUCCAAGAGGGCGUGAAACCAUCGAGAGGUAAAUGGGUGGCGUCUGUGCAGUCUGCCUGCAGGAUUCAACACAGCGCCAGGUCGGUCGCCUGGAACGGUGGAUGCCCUUGUGGGAUUGCUGCCAGGGCACAUCCAGCCCCGUAGGGCACAUUUCCUCUGUGGCGGUGCACUGCGACCGGCUCUGCGUUGGCUGGGAAGGCCCAGGGGGCAGGUGGUUCUCUGCUCCGACAUCGAGUGUUACAGCCCCUGAAAGCAAUUUUUCUCUGUCUGCGUGGCCGAGAGAGAUUGGCCACUGCCGUGCCCUUCUCCGGCAACUGUUCCGGCCCCUCUUGGGGGUUACCGGGGAGGCAACAGGCGACUGUGGUGGACUGCCCCACAAAGGGUGCCAGUGGAUGAGGUGAUGUUGGUUACCCACCUGACCCGUCUUGUAACAAUAACCAAAGAGUCUAACACAUGCGUGAGUCAGAGGGACGAACAAAACCCUGUGGCGCAAUGAAGGUGAGGGCCGGCGUGCACCGGCUGGGGUGGGAUCCCGUCGCGGUGGGCUGCUCUGUCAGGGAGAUAGAGCUGAGCGUCUGUGAUAGGACCCGUAAGAUGGUGAACUAGGCCUGGCAGGGCAAAGCCAGAGGAAACUCUGGUGGAGGUCCGUAGCGGUCCUGACAUGAAAAUCGGUCAUCCGACCUCUGUAUAGGGGCGAAAGACUAAUCGAACCAUCUAGUAGCUGAUUCCCUCUGAAGUUUCCCUCAGGAUAGCUGGCGCACGGAAACCCCAGUUUUAUCUGGUAAAGCGAAUGAUUAGGGUCUUGGGGCCAAAAUGAUCUCAAGCUCUUAACAAACUUUAAAUGGGUAAGAAGCCUGGCUUGCUGGCGUUGAGCCGGGCAUCGAAUGCAAGUGCCCAGUGGGCCACUUUUGGUAAGCAGAACUGACGCUGUGGGAUGAACCGAAUGCUGGGUUAAGGCACCCAAUGCCAACGCUCAUCAGACCCCAGAAAAGGUGUUGGUUCAUAUAGACAGCAGGACGGUGGCCAUGGAAGUCGGACUCCGCUAAGGAGUGUGUAACAACUCACCUGCCAAAUCAAGUAGCCCUGAAAAUGGAUGGAGCUGGAGCGUCUGGCCCAUACCAGUGUGGUGCGCAAGGAAACCCGGGACGAGGGUCCCGGUGGAGUCGCUGCAGUGUUAGUAGCAAAUAUUCAAACGAGAACCUUGAAGGCCGAAGUGAAGAAGGGUUCCAUGUGAACAGCAGUUGAACAUGGGUCAGUCGGUCCUAAGAAAUGGUUGCGUGCAAUUCGGAAGGGAUGGGCGAUGGCCUCCGUUGUCCUCAGCCAAUCGAAAGGGAGUCAGGUUCAGAUCCCCGAACCCGGAGUGGCGUAGACGAGCGGCGUCCAGUGCAGUAAUGCAAACGAUCCCAGAGAAGCUAGCGAUAUCCCCAUGGAGAGUUCUGUUUUCUUUGUGAAGGGCUGGGCACCGUGGAAUGGGUUUGCCCUGAGAGAGGGGCCCAAGCCUUGGAAAGUGUUGCAGUUCCGGCAGCAACCGGUGAGCUCUCGCUGGUCCUUGAAAAUCCAAGGGAGAUGGUGUAAAUCUCACGCCAGGCUGUACCCAUAUCCACAGCAGUUCUCCAAGGUGAACAGCCUCUGGCAUGUUGGAACAAUGUAGGUAAGGGAAGUCGGCAAGCCGGAUCUGUAACUUCACGAAGGGCUGGGUCGGUCAGGCUGGGGUGUGCGAAGCGGGGGUGGCGCUGACUCUGGAUGUGAGUUGGGCCCUUCCUGUGGUUCGCCCCAGCUGCGGUGGUUGCCUUGCUCCAUUCCUCCCGGGAUUUGGGGCCGGCGUUCUGCCUUGGCCGACGCCUAGCAGCUGAAUCUGACUGUUAAAUUAAACCAAUGCAUCGUGUAAGGCCCACGGUGGGUGUUGACGCAAUGUGAUUUCUGCCCAGUGCUCUGAAUGUCAAAGUGAAGAAAUUCAAUGAAGCGUGGUAAAUAGCGAGAGUAACUAUGACUCUCUUAAGGUAGCCAAAUGCCUCGCCAUCUAAUUAGUGAUGCACUCGAAUGGAUGAACAAGAUUGCCACUGUCCCUACCUACUAUCUAGCGAAACCACAGCCAGGGGAACGGGCUUGGCAGAAUCAGCGAGAACAGAAUACCCUAUUGCGAUUAACUCUAGUCUGGCACUGUGAACAGACAUGAGAGGUGUAGGAUACCACUACUCAUCAUUUUUUCACUUACCCGGUGAGGCGGGGGCAAACCCCGUGGGACUCUCGCUUCUGGCUCCAAGCGCCGGCGCUCGCCGGGCACGACCACUCCAGGACAACCAAACGGCAAACCAUAACCCAGAUGUCCUAAGGCAAGCUCAGGGAGGAUAGAAACCUUGCACGGAGCAGAAGGGCAAAAGCUUGCUUGAUCUCGAUUUUCAUUAUGAAUACAGACCUUGAAAGCGGGUCCUCGGGAUCCUUCUGACUUUUUGUGUUUCAAGCAGGAGGUGUCUGAAAGUUACCACAGGAUAACUGGCUUGUGGGGCCAAGCAUUCAUAGUGGCGCUUUUUUGAUCCUUCGAUGUCGGCUCUUCCUAUCAUUGUGAAGCAGACUUCACCAAGCGUUGGAUUGUUCACCCACUUACAGGAAACAUGAGCUGGUUUAGACCGUGUGAGACAGGUUAGUUUUACCCUACUGAUGAUGUGUUGUUUCAAUAGUAAUCCUGCUCAGUAUGAGAGGAACCGCAGGCUCAGACAAUUGGUGUAUGUGCUUGACUGAGGAGCCAAUGGGGCGUAGCUACCAUAUGUGGGAUUAUGACUGAAUGUCUCUAAAUCAG
Molecule: ribosomal RNA, 3143 nt
Filed under: Ambystoma mexicanum (axolotl)
Lineage: Eukaryota; Metazoa; Chordata; Amphibia; Caudata; Ambystomatidae
Description: eukaryotic LSU rRNA
Rfam family: Eukaryotic large subunit ribosomal RNA
Source: RNAcentral